GUCUUCUUCUGGUUGCUUUUGCAGGAGAGAGCGAGUCACAGAACAGAUGCUGCAAGAGAAAUCCAUGAAAUGAAAUGAAAACUUGUUUUGAUCUUUAGGGUUUGCUGCUGCUGCUAGAAGGAAUGUCAUGAUAUAGCAAACCCCAGCUUUAGCUGCAUUUGAUUUUGAUGGCACUUCGGUCAGUUUCCUGUACUGAUAUUCUCCAUUUAGCACAAAUCAAAGCCAAGCAAACACUCAGUUCCGUGAACUGAGAGGUGCAGUGGCAGGCCACUGCUUAGAUUCAAACACUGAGAGGUGCAUAGAUAUGUGCUAAAUGAAAAAUGUCUGUCGCCGGAGUAGCUUUGGGAUCUAUACUAUAUUAUUCGGCUGCAACUAUUGGAUCACAGCUGAGGGGUUGCUGCUGCUGCUGGAAAGGAAGCCGUGAUAUAGCAAACCCAAGCUCUAGCUACUUUCAGAUUUUGAAAAGGCACGUCGGUCAUGUUUGUGUGCUGAUGUUCUCCAUUAAGCACAAGGCAAAGCCAAGCCGCCACUCAGUUCCGUGAACUGAGAGGUGCACUGCUCAGUUCCGUGAAUUGAGCAGUGCAAAGGCAGGCCAUGACUUAGUUCCGUGAGCUAAGAGGAGCACUGCUCAGUUCUGUGAACUGAGAGGUGCAACGGCAGGCCACCAGAUAGUUCCGAUUACUAGAGGUGCAAAGCUAUGUGCUUAAUGGGGAACAUCUCACUCUCCAGAGCAGCUUCGGGAUAUAAACUAUAUGGUUCAGCUGAAACUAUCGCAAAACAGCUAAGUGUGCUUCUCCUUUUUUUUUUUUUUUUUUUUUAUUCUCCUUAUUUAUUGGAAACAUUAUUGGAAGUUUGGUUCAUAGCAAGGCAGCGAUACUUCCUAAUCCCUAUGUGGUUCAGCUACAACUACUGUAACACAGUUAAGUGAGCUUCUAUCUCUCUCUCUAUCUAUUUUGUUUUGUGUUUUUUUCUUCUUAUUAUUGGAAAACUAUAGGAACACAGCAAGUUUCAUUGUUUCACAUCUAAAGGUAGAUACUCUUAACUUCAAUUCUAUGUUUACUAUAUGUUGUAUAAAUUUCCUACUUACUUGAGUGUCGGAGUACCUUUUUUGUUUUUUGCAGGUCUCUCCUUCUCAAGCCUAGACAUUUUCAAUUUGGAGGGUUGUCGAAAUAGAAUGCUGGUGAGGUCCUGUGAACUGGAGGCUGGGGAGACAAAAUGCAAAGGCAGUCAUGUAACUUAUAUGAACUGAAGGCUACAAAGGUGGAUGGAAAAAACAGUCUGGUAAAAUUUCAGCUGAUGAGAUUCCAGCAAGUACAAAUAUUUAUUUCAAGGAUCCUCUCUGUGCAGCUUGUGUGUCCCCAAAUAUUACAAAGGUUUAGAGAAAUAGUACCUGUGACAAAAUAUCCUAGCUUCUACCCCAAAUUCAAGAAAUGGUACUUUAAUAAAGAUCCUCUGUGCGCCCCUUAAUAUCAGCAGCAACAUAUUACAUAUUACAAAGUUUUAUAGACAAUCGUUCUUUACAUCUAUCUUGAGUGAUGUGGUUGCACUCAUGUCAGUCAGACAAAGCUUGUCGAAAUGAAGUACCGUUUUUAAGGACUAUAUAUAGUGAACCUCCUGAAUUUUCUUGUACAAGUAUAUAAACCUGCAGGAGUUUCUUCAACCCCUUGUUGCAACAAAUUUCCAAGUACUUGAGGAAGCUAAACAAUAACGUAUUUUUCUCUUUGGCACUAAUUAAAAUGGGACGAGUUUUCUUUUCUGGUA
This is a long non-coding RNA of Papaver somniferum (opium poppy), 1761 nucleotides long. RefSeq lists it as uncharacterized. Lineage: Eukaryota; Viridiplantae; Streptophyta; Magnoliopsida; Ranunculales; Papaveraceae. The record is from RefSeq and is a predicted model, not a curated record. The transcript is spliced from 7 exons.